RNAcentral lists this microRNA precursor (66 nucleotides) under Bombyx mori (domestic silkworm). RNAcentral describes it as "mir-2774 microRNA precursor family". It matches the Rfam family "mir-2774 microRNA precursor family". The record is from Rfam by way of RNAcentral. Lineage: Eukaryota; Metazoa; Arthropoda; Insecta; Lepidoptera; Bombycidae.
ACAACAUUGAAUCGUCGAUCUGCCGAGCAAUAUGACCCGCUCGGUGGAAGAUCUUCUCUCCAUCGU